Molecule: ribosomal RNA, 231 nt
Filed under: uncultured bacterium
Lineage: Bacteria
Description: partial 16S ribosomal RNA
Rfam family: Bacterial small subunit ribosomal RNA
Source: RNAcentral
UAGGUAAUCUUCCCUUGAGCGGGGGACAACGAGCCGAAAGGCUCGCUAAUACCGCAUAAGUUCCCAGAGUCCUCGGGCUUUGGGAGGAAAGCUAGGUAGCAAUAUCCGGCACUCGAGGAGGAGCCUGCGUCGCAUCAGCUAGUUGGUGGGGUAAUGGCCUUCCAAGGCGAAGACGCGUAGCUGGUCUGAGAGGAUGAUCAGCCACACUGAAACUGAGACACCGGUUNACGA